This 362-nucleotide ribosomal RNA is filed under the name uncultured bacterium. RNAcentral's name for it is "partial 16S ribosomal RNA". It matches the Rfam family "Bacterial small subunit ribosomal RNA", at positions 338 to 697 of the family's 1533-position model. The record is from RNAcentral.
CCUACGGGAGGCAGCAGUGAGGAAUAUUGGUCAAUGGACGCAAGUCUGAACCAGCCAUGCCGCGUGCAGGAAGACGGCUCCAUGAGUUGUAAACUGCUUUUGUACGAGGGUAAACGCAGAUACGCGUAUCUGUCUGAAAGUAUUGUACGAAUAAGGAUCGGCUAACUCCGUGCCAGCAGCCGCGGUAAUACGGAGGAUUCGAGCGUUAUCCGGAUUUAUUGGGUUUAAAGGGUGCGUAGGCGGUCGGAUAAGUUAGAGGUUAAAUCCCGGGGCUCAACUUCGGAAGAGCCUCUGAUACUGUCUGUCUUGAGAGGAGGUGCGGUAGGCGGAAUGUAUGGUGUAGCGGUGAAAUGCUUAGAGAU